Molecule: ribosomal RNA, 335 nt
Filed under: uncultured Pelotomaculum sp.
Lineage: Bacteria; Bacillati; Bacillota; Clostridia; Eubacteriales; Desulfotomaculaceae
Description: bacterial SSU rRNA
Rfam family: Bacterial small subunit ribosomal RNA
Source: RNAcentral
CAUGGCUGUCGUCAGCUCGUGUCGUGAGAUGUUGGGUUAAGUCCGCACGAGCGCAACCCUACGUUAGUUGCUAACAGUGAAGCUGAGCACUCUAGACGAACUGCCGUUGACAAAACGGAGGGAAGGUGGGGAGUGACGUCAAUCAUCAUGCCCUUAUGUUCUGGGCUACACACGUGCUACAAUGGCCGGUACAGACGGAGGCGAAGCCGCGAGGCGGAGCAAAUCCGAAAAAGCCGGUACUCAGUUCGGAUUGCAGGCUGCAAUUCGCCUGCAUGAAGUCGGAAUCGCUAGUAAUCGCAGGUCAGCAUACUGCGGUGAAUACGUUCCCGGGCCUU